Molecule: ribosomal RNA, 431 nt
Filed under: uncultured bacterium
Lineage: Bacteria
Description: partial 16S ribosomal RNA
Rfam family: Bacterial small subunit ribosomal RNA
Source: RNAcentral
AACGAACGCUGGCGGCAGGCUUAACACAUGCAAGUCGAACGCCCCGCAAGGGGAGUGGCCGACGGGUGAGUAACGCGUGGGAAUCUACCCAUCCCUACGGAAUAACGCAUGGAAACGUGUGCUAAUACCGUAUACGCCCUACGGGGGAAAGAUUUAUCGGGGAUGGAUGAGGCCGCGUUGGAUUAGCUAGUUGGCGGGGUAAAGGCCUACCAAGGCGACGAUCCAUAGCUGGUCUGUGAGGAUGGUCAGCCACCUUUGGGCUGAGACACGGCCCGAACUCCUGCGGGAGGGGGCAGUGGGUGAUACUGGAAUGUGGGGUGUAGGCUGAACCAGCCAUGCCUGGUGAGUGAUGAAGGCCUUAGGGUUGUAAAGCUCUUUCACCGGAGAAGAUAAUGACGGUACCCGGAGAAGAAGCCCCGGCUAACUUCGUG